This 579-nucleotide ribosomal RNA is filed under the name Triticum aestivum (bread wheat). RNAcentral describes it as "partial small subunit ribosomal RNA". The record is from RNAcentral. Lineage: Eukaryota; Viridiplantae; Streptophyta; Magnoliopsida; Poales; Poaceae.
AUGUCCACGCUGCCGUGUACGGGAGCACGGACCGCUUGGGAUACUGGCAUGCCUUCAUGGUAUUUCACGGCUGACACCGUCAAAAGCAAUCUCUUCAUCCAAUCGGACAAGAACCUCUCCGCCGCCGUUGAGGGCGUCUUCACGCUGCUCGGCCAUGCGUGCGAUGUCUUCUUCUUCGGCCAUGCGACGCCGCCGCCCUCUCUGAUCGUGCAGGAUUGGUCGCUCCACCCGGCGAAACAAAGAGUAGGUCUCGGCCGGCACGCAUGCAGUGGAACCUGGAUGGGCAGGAGGCUCGCCAGGUCGGCCAUGCGGCACGCCCGCAUCGUCAAUGUCGUCAAGACAGAUACAACACCUUCAGGCUAUACUCUUCCUCUUCAUCUUUUCCACCUUCAUUGCACUGGAAUCUCACGUGUCCCCAGCGGCCCCGCCUCCAUGUCUGAUGAGAAGAAUACCUACAAUAUGCAUGCAUCUUGUCAACUCAAUCCCCUCUUAUAUUAUUUAAAUCUCAGCCAGAUAGCCACGUUUGAGGCAGGAACUGCAAGUACUUUAGCCAGUGGGAUCUAUUUUGUGAGGGAAUGA